Molecule: unclassified non-coding RNA, 293 nt
Filed under: Ambisporaceae sp.
Lineage: Eukaryota; Fungi; Glomeromycota; Glomeromycetes; Archaeosporales; Ambisporaceae
Description: partial contains 5.8S ribosomal RNA and internal transcribed spacer 2
Rfam family: 5.8S ribosomal RNA (bases 1-71)
Source: RNAcentral
GUGAAUCAUCGAAUUUUUGAACGCAUAUUGCACUCUCUGGUAUGCCGGAGAGUAUGUCUGUGUGAGGGUAAUUAAAAAGAAUCUUUAACCAAUUACUUUGUUCCAAGCGAAUGAGUUCUCCGCGUCUAUAGCGGUAGCUUGAAAUAAAUGGUCAAGUCUCAUUUUAGUCGAGACGCGUAAUAUUAUUAUUUCUCGACUUCUUUAUUAUGUGACUAUCAAGUUUUGAUGCAUACACUUUGCUUUGUAUGCGAUCAAUACAAAUAUUUUGAACAUUACCUCAAAUCGGGUAGGCG